GGGCCAGACUCCUACGGGAGGCAGCAGUGGGGAAUAUUGCACAAUGGGGGGAACCCUGAUGCAGCGACGCCGCGUGAGUGAAGAAGUAUCUCGGUACGUAAAGCUCUAUCAGCAGGGAAGAAAAUGACGGUACCUGACUAAGAAGCCCCGACUAACUACGUGCCAGCAGCCGCGGUAAUACGUAGGGGGCAAGCGUUAUCCGGAUUUACUGGGUGUAAAGGGAGCGUAGACGGCGAUGCAAGUCUGAAGUGAGAGGCGGGGGCCCAACCCCCGGACUGCUUUGGAAACUGUAUGGCUGGAGUGCAGGAGAGGUAAGUGGAAUUCCUAGUGUAGCGGUGAAAUGCGUAGAUAUUAGGAGGAACACCAGUGGCGAAGGCGGCUUACUGGACUGUAACUGACGUUGAGGCUCGAAAGCGUGGGGAGCAAACAGGAUUAGAUACCCCUGUAAUC
This 450-nucleotide ribosomal RNA is filed under the name uncultured bacterium. RNAcentral's name for it is "bacterial SSU rRNA". It matches the Rfam family "Bacterial small subunit ribosomal RNA", at positions 328 to 795 of the family's 1533-position model. The record is from RNAcentral.